Molecule: ribosomal RNA, 204 nt
Filed under: uncultured bacterium
Lineage: Bacteria
Description: partial 16S ribosomal RNA
Rfam family: Bacterial small subunit ribosomal RNA
Source: RNAcentral
CGGUCCAGACUCCUACGGGAGGCAGCAGUAGGGAAUCUUCCACAAUGGACGAAAGUCUGAUGGAGCAACGCCGCGUGAGUGAAGAAGGUUUUCGGAUCGUAAAACUCUGUUGUUGAAGAAGAACACGUUUGAGAGUAACUGUUCAGACGUUGACGGUAUUCAACCAGAAAGCCACGGCUAACUACGUGCCAGCAGCCGCGGUAC